AGCGAACGCUGGCGGCAUGCUUAACACAUGCAAGUCGCACGGUUGGGGGUAACUCCGGCAGUGGCGGACGGGUGAGUAACGCGUAGGUAUCUGUCCAUGGGUGGGGGAUAACCGGGGGAAACUCCGGCUAAUACCGCAUGACACCUGAGGGUCAAAGGCGCAAGUCGCCUGUGGAGGAGCCUGCGUCCGAUUAGCUAGUUGGUGGGGUAAAGGCCUACCAAGGCGACGAUCGGUAGCUGGUCUGAGAGGAUGAUCAGCCACACUGGGACUGAGACAC
RNAcentral lists this ribosomal RNA (277 nucleotides) under uncultured bacterium. RNAcentral's name for it is "partial 16S ribosomal RNA". It matches the Rfam family "Bacterial small subunit ribosomal RNA", at positions 29 to 327 of the family's 1533-position model. The record is from RNAcentral.